UUUUUCGAUCCCAGUAAGUGCGCCAGCACUCGCCUUGGCGCGUUUCUCGACGAGAACCAGCGAGAGAGUGCGGGGAGACAUUGAGACGCAGAGAUUUUUAAUGGAAAAUCGCAGGAAGUAGCUGAAAAUCCCUGAAAAUUCAAUUUUUU
Non-coding RNA from Caenorhabditis elegans, 149 nucleotides. NCBI's taxonomy places the organism in Eukaryota, Metazoa, Nematoda, Chromadorea, Rhabditida, Rhabditidae. The record is from Ensembl.